CCAAUUGGCAAUCCUAUGAUCAGGAACAUUUAGGAUGUGUGUCUACGAAAGAAUGGUCUCAUGAAUCUAACUUCAUUAGAUUACAUUCUCCCAAUCACAUAUUCCUUGGACUUUAUCGUUUUAAGCAUAUAACAUUUAUAUGAGACGGCUCAAACAAUAAUCUUUGCCUUUUAUAGUUAAACUAGAUUAGUUUAACAUGUGAAAUGUCCGUAAAGUAUCAUCAUAUGAUUGGAUUUAGGGCACAUUUCCAACAAUCUCCCACUUGCACUAGAGCCAAUCAGCUUGGUCAUCAGUGAUGAUACCUCUUAUGUAGUCAUUUCAUAAAUGGCUGAGUAGUAGGCCUAGGCAAUGGAUAUCUAUAUGUUAUCCAUAGAAGCAA
This 379-nucleotide long non-coding RNA is filed under the name Malus domestica (apple). RNAcentral describes it as "long non-coding RNA (MDOM_LNC004506)". The record is from RNAcentral. Lineage: Eukaryota; Viridiplantae; Streptophyta; Magnoliopsida; Rosales; Rosaceae.